RNAcentral lists this ribosomal RNA (480 nucleotides) under uncultured bacterium. RNAcentral describes it as "partial 16S ribosomal RNA". It matches the Rfam family "Bacterial small subunit ribosomal RNA", at positions 28 to 507 of the family's 1533-position model. The record is from RNAcentral.
GAUGAACGCUAGCGGCAGGCCUAACACAUGCAAGUCGAGGGGUAGAAGGAGCUUGCUCCUUUGAGACCGGCGCACGGGUGCGUAACGCGUAUGCAAUCUACCUUGUACAGGGGAAUAGCCCAGAGAAAUUUGGAUUAAUGCCCCAUAGUAUAUAACCUUCGCAUGUUGGUUAUAUUAAAGUUCCAACGGUACAAGAUGAGCAUGCGUCCCAUUAGUUAGUUGGUAAGGUAACGGCUUACCAAGACGAUGAUGGGUAGGGGUCCUGAGAGGGAGAUCCCCCAGACUGGUACUGAGACACGGACCAGACUCCUACGGGAGGCAGCAGUGCGGAAGAUUGGUCAAUGGUCGCAAGACUGAACCAGCCAUGCCGCGUGCAGGAAGACGGUCCUAUGGAUUGUAAACUGCUUUUAUACAGGAAGAAACCCUCCCACGUGUGGGAGCUUGACGGUACUGUAGGAAUAAGGAUCGGCUAACUCCGUG